AGUCGAGCGAAUCUGAGGGAGCUUGCUCCCAAAGAUUAGCGGCGGACGGGUGAGUAACACGUGGGUAACCUGCCUGUAAGAUUGGGAUAACUCCGGGAAACCGGAGCUAAUACCGGAUAACAUUUCGAACCGCAUGGUUCGAAAUUGAAAGAUGGUUUCGGCUAUCACUUACAGAUGGACCCGCGGCGCAUUAGCUAGUUGGUGAGGUAACGGCUCACCAAGGCAACGAUGCGUAGCCGACCUGAGAGGGUGAUCGGCCACACUGGGACUGAAACACGGCCCAGACUCCUACGGGAGGCAGCAGUAGGGAAUCUUCCGCAAUGGACGAAAGUCUGACGGAGCAACGCCGCGUGAACGAUGAAGGCCUUCGGGUCGUAAAGUUCUGUUGUUAGGGAAGAACAAGUACCAGAGUAACUGCUGGUACCUUGACGGUACCUAACCAGAAAGCCACGGCUAACUACGUGCCAGCAGCCGCGGUAAUACGUAGGUGGCAAGCGUUGUCCGGAAUUAUUGGGCGUAAAGCGCGCGCAGGCGGUUUCUUAAGUCUGAUGUGAAAGCCCACGGCUCAACCGUGGAGGGUCAUUGGAAACUGGGGAACUUGAGUGCAGAAGAAGAGAGUGGAAUUCCCACGUGUAGCGGUGAAAUGCGUAAAGAUGUGGAGGAACACCAGUGGCGAAGGCGACUCUCUGGUCUGUAACUGACGCUGAGGCGCGAAAGCUAGGAGAGCGAACGUGAUUAGAAUCCAGGUAGUCCUAGCUGUAAACGAUGCAGAAUAGGCGUUAGUGGACUAGACCCCAUCAGUACGGUAGCAACGCGAUAAGUCAACCGCUUGGGGAGUACGACCGCAAGGUUUAUAACUCAAAGAAAUUGACGGGGGCCCGCACAAGCAGCGGAGCGUGUGUUUUAAUUUGAAGCAACGAGAAGAACCUUAGCAGGUCUUGACAUCCUUCGCUACUUCUAGAGAUAGAAGAUUCCCCUUUGGGGACGGAGUGACAGGUGGUGCAUGGUUGUCGUCAGAUCGUGUCGUGAGAUGUUGGGUUAAGUCCCGCAACGAGCGCAACCCUUGAUCUUAGUUGCCAGCAUUCAGUUGGGCACUAUAAGGUGACUGCCGGUGACAAACCGGAGGAAGGUGGGGAUGACGUCAAAUCAUCAUGCCCCUUAUGACCUGGGCUACACACGUGCUACAAUGGAUGGUACAAAGGGCUGCAAGACUGCGAAGUCAAGCGAAUCCCAUAAAACCAUUCUCAGUUCGGAUUGCAGGCUGCAACUCGCCUGCAUGAAGCCGGAAUCGCUAGUAAUCGCGGAUCAGCAUGCCGCGGUGAAUACGUUCCCGGGCAUUGUACACCCCGCCCGUCACACCACGAGAGUUUGUAACACCCGAAGUCGGUGGGGUAACCGUAUGGAGCCAGCCGCCUAAGGUGGGACAGAUGAUUGGGGUGAAGUCGUAACAAGGUAGCCGU
This 1460-nucleotide ribosomal RNA is filed under the name uncultured Bacillota bacterium. RNAcentral's name for it is "uncultured Firmicutes bacterium 16S ribosomal RNA". It matches the Rfam family "Bacterial small subunit ribosomal RNA". The record is from RNAcentral. Lineage: Bacteria; Bacillati; Bacillota.